This 2914-nucleotide ribosomal RNA is filed under the name Klebsiella pneumoniae. RNAcentral's name for it is "23S ribosomal RNA". It matches the Rfam family "Bacterial large subunit ribosomal RNA". Lineage: Bacteria; Pseudomonadati; Pseudomonadota; Gammaproteobacteria; Enterobacterales; Enterobacteriaceae. The record is from RNAcentral.
GGGUUGUGAGGUUAAGCGACUAAGCGUACACGGUGGAUGCCACGGCAGUCAGAGGCGAUGAAGGACGUGCUAAUCUGCGAAAAGCGUCGGUAAGGUGAUAUGAACCGUUAUAACCGGCGAUGUCCGAAUGGGGAAACCCAGUGCAAUUCGUUGCACUAUCGUUAACUGAAUACAUAGGUUAACGAGGCGAACCGGGGGAACUGAAACAUCUAAGUACCUCGAGGAAAAGAAAUCAACCGAGAUUCCCCCAGUAGCGGCGAGCGAACGGGGAGCAGCCCAGAGUCUGAAUCAGCUUGUGUGUUAGUGGAACGGUCUGGAAAGUCCGACGGUACAGGGUGAUAGUCCCGUACACCAAAAUGCACAGGUUGUGAACUCGAAGAGUAGGGCGGGACACGUGGUAUCCUGUCUGAAUAUGGGGGGACCAUCCUCCAAGGCUAAAUACUCCUGACUGACCGAUAGUGAACCAGUACCGUGAGGGAAAGGCGAAAAGAACCCCGGCGAGGGGAGUGAAAAAGAACCUGAAACCGUGUACGUACAAGCAGUGGGAGCACCUUCGGGUGUGACUGCGUACCUUUUGUAUAAUGGGUCAGCGACUUAUAUUCUGUAGCAAGGUUAACCGUAUAGGGGAGCCGCAGGGAAACCGAGUCUUAACUGGGCGUUAAGUUGCAGGGUAUAGACCCGAAACCCGGUGAUCUAGCCAUGGGCAGGUUGAAGGUUGGGUAACACUAACUGGAGGACCGAACCGACUAAUGUUGAAAAAUUAGCGGAUGACUUGUGGCUGGGGGGUGAAAGGCCAAUCAAACCGGGAGAUAGCUGGUUCUCCCCGAAAGCUAUUUAGGUAGCGCCUCGUGAAUUCAUCUUCGGGGGUAGAGCACUGUUUCGGCUAGGGGGGUCAUCCCGACUUACCAACCCGAUGCAAACUACGAAUACCGAAGAAUGUUAUCACGGGAGACACACGGCGGGUGCUAACGUCCGUCGUGAAGAGGGAAACAACCCAGACCGCCAGCUAAGGUCCCAAAGUCAUGGUUAAGUGGGAAACGAUGUGGGAAGGCACAGACAGCCAGGAUGUUGGCUUAGAAGCAGCCAUCAUUUAAAGAAAGCGUAAUAGCUCACUGGUCGAGUCGGCCUGCGCGGAAGAUGUAACGGGGCUAAACCAUGCACCGAAGCUGCGGCAGCGACACUAUGUGUUGUUGGGUAGGGGAGCGUUCUGUAAGCCUGCGAAGGUGACCUGUGAGGGUUGCUGGAGGUAUCAGAAGUGCGAAUGCUGACAUAAGUAACGAUAAAGCGGGUGAAAAGCCCGCUCGCCGGAAGACCAAGGGUUCCUGUCCAACGUUAAUCGGGGCAGGGUGAGUCGACCCCUAAGGCGAGGCCGAAAGGCGUAGUCGAUGGGAAACAGGUUAAUAUUCCUGUACUUGGUGUUACUGCGAAGGGGGGACGGAGAAGGCUAUGUUAGCCGGGCGACGGUUGUCCCGGUUUAAGCAUGUAGGCUGAUUAUCGGGCAAAUCCGGAUAAUCAAGGCUGAGGUGUGAUGACGAGGCACUACGGUGCUGAAGUAACAAAUGCCCUGCUUCGGGAAAAGCCUCUAAGCAUCAGGUAACAUCAAAUCGUACCCCAAACCGACACAGGUGGUCAGGUAGAGAAUACCAAGGCGCUUGAGAGAACUCGGGUGAAGGAACUAGGCAAAAUGGUGCCGUAACUUCGGGAGAAGGCACGCUGGUGUGUAGGUGAAGUCCCUGCGGAUGGAGCUGAGACCAGUCGAAGAUACCAGCUGGCUGCAACUGUUUAUUAAAACACAGCACUGUGCAAACACGAAAGUGGACGUAUACGGUGUGACGCCUGCCCGGUGCCGGAAGGUUAAUUGAUGGGGUUAUCCGUAAGGAGAAGCUCUUGAUCGAAGCCCCGGUAAACGGCGGCCGUAACUAUAACGGUCCUAAGGUAGCGAAAUUCCUUGUCGGGUAAGUUCCGACCUGCACGAAUGGCGUAAUGAUGGCCAGGCUGUCUCCACCCGAGACUCAGUGAAAUUGAACUCGCUGUGAAGAUGCAGUGUACCCGCGGCAAGACGGAAAGACCCCGUGAACCUUUACUAUAGCUUGACACUGAACAUUGAGCCUUGAUGUGUAGGAUAGGUGGGAGGCUUUGAAGCGUGGACGCCAGUCUGCGUGGAGCCAACCUUGAAAUACCACCCUUUAAUGUUUGAUGUUCUAACGUUGCCCCUGACCGGGGUUGCGGACAGUGUCUGGUGGGUAGUUUGACUGGGGCGGUCUCCUCCCAAAGCGUAACGGAGGAGCACGAAGGUUAGCUAAUCUGGUCGGACAUCAGGAGGUUAGUGCAAUGGCAUAAGCUAGCUUGACUGCGAGCGUGACGGCGCGAGCAGGUGCGAAAGCAGGUCAUAGUGAUCCGGUGGUUCUGAAUGGAAGGGCCAUCGCUCAACGGAUAAAAGGUACCGGGGAUAACAGGCUGAUACCGCCCAAGAGUUCAUAUCGACGGCGGUGUUUGGCACCUCGAUGUCGGCUCAUCACAUCCUGGGGCUGAAGUAGGUCCCAAGGGUAUGGCUGUUCGCCAUUUAAAGUGGUACGCGAGCUGGGUUUAGAACGUCGUGAGACAGUUCGGUCCCUAUCUGCCGUGGGCGCUGGAGAAUUGAGGGGCUGCUCCUAGUACGAGAGGACCGGGUGGACGCAUCACUGGUGUUCGGGUUGUCAUGCCAAUGGCACUGCCCGGUAGCUAAAUGCGGAAGAGAUAAGUGCUGAAAGCAUCUAAGCACGAAACUUGCCCCGAGAUGAGUUCUCCUGAGACUUUAAGUCUCCUGAAGGAACGUUGAAGACGACGACGUUGAUAGGCCGGGUGUGUAAGCGCAGCGAUGCGUUGAGCUAACCGGUACUAAUGAACCGUGAGGCUUAACCUUACAACGCCGAAG